UNACUNAAANUUAUUGACGGGGCCNAANGCCUGACGCAGCCUGCCGCGUGCGGGAUGACGGCCUAUGGGUUGUAAACCUCUUUUUUCAGGGAGGAAUAAAUGACGUGUACCUGAAGAAUAAGCAUCNGGUACCUCCGUGCCAGCCGCCGCGUAACGACGGGNNAUGCAANGGUUAUCCGCAAUCACUGNGCGCGAAGNGCCUGUNGGCNGUUCAAUAAGCCAACUGAUAAAUCUUGAGGCUCAACCUGGAAAACGCAGUCGCUACUAUUAGACUACUGCAUAUGAGGCGUGAAAGGUAAUUUCCAGUGGAGCGGUGAAAUGCGUACAUAUUGGAAAGAACACCGCUGGCGAUGGCACUUUACUGCGCUAUUACUAACACUGCGAGACGAACGCUACGUGACAGCUAAAUGCGCAUUAGNUACCCCAGUAGACCUAGCUGUAUACAAUGGAUACUACACUGUUGUAACACGAUCGACCUGGGCAGUAUCAAAGCUAACGCGUUAAGUAUCCCGCCUAGGGAAGUAUGCUUGGCNGANUGGAAACUCNAANGNGUUUGGGCGNGAAACUUCAAAUGAUUUGACGGC
This 584-nucleotide ribosomal RNA is filed under the name uncultured diatom. RNAcentral describes it as "partial 16S ribosomal RNA". It matches the Rfam family "Bacterial small subunit ribosomal RNA", at positions 353 to 917 of the family's 1533-position model. The record is from RNAcentral. Lineage: Eukaryota; Bacillariophyta.